GCUUAGGUUUCUCGUCUUAGGAUCAUCUGGGGUCAUUCGUACUCGUCCGCGAGAGGUGAAAUUCUUGGACCGGACGAAGACGAUCAGCAGCGAAAGCAUCUGUCAGGGAUGUUUUCUGCGACAAAGGACGAAGGUCAGGGUAUCGAAGACGAUUAGAUACCGUCGUAGUCCUGACUGUAAACUAUGCCGACUUGGGUCUUGCAGAGUAAUUACUUUGUGAGACCCACACAGAAAUGAAAGUGUAUGGGUUCUGGGGGUAGUAUGGACACAAGUCUGAAACUUGAAGGAAUUGACGGAAGAGCACCAUAAGCCGUGGAGCUUGCGGCUUAAUUUGACUCAACGCGGGAAAACUUACCAGGUCAAGACAUGGGCGUGAUUGACAGGCUAAUGACCUUUCUCGAUUCCUUGGAUGGUGGUGCAUGGUCGCACUUAGUUGGUGCAGUGAUUUGUCAGGUUUAUUCCGGUAACGAACGAGACCUCGGCCUUGUAACUAGCUUUACUGCUGCUUACAGGGACAAUGUCGGCUACGUCAAGGAAGUUCGAGGCAAUUGCAGAUCUGGAAUGCCCUUAGAUGUCCUGGGUCGCACGCGUGCUACAAUGACGCCACGAGCGAGUUUACGAGAUGAAAGUCACGUAAAAUCAGC
Molecule: ribosomal RNA, 644 nt
Filed under: uncultured freshwater eukaryote
Lineage: Eukaryota
Description: bacterial SSU rRNA
Rfam family: Eukaryotic small subunit ribosomal RNA
Source: RNAcentral